CUCCAGGGUGCGGGACGGGACCCAGGUCUGCUGGUGCCUCUCCAGCUCCUCUCUCCCAGGAACUUUGGCUUUGUCCUAACCUGGCUUGGAGGAUGCCCCAGCACCCUAAUGCCUGAGGCCCAAACCUCCACCUUUUGUGUGUUUCCACGGACAUGGCACCCACCCUCUGCAUUCUUUAAUUUGUUCAUUCAGUCAUUCAUUCAAAUAACACCUGAGUUCCCUUGAGGAGACGGCACAAGAGGGAGGACAGGAAGCCGGGCGUGAUCAGAGUGGAGCCGAGUGGAGAGUGGACUGAGGACAAGAUGGGAAAGGACAGUGAAGGUGAACAUAUUUCAAACAAGGAGGACUUCUGUGGUGUGUGAUGCCAGAGGGGACAUUGAACUGAGUAGGAGACACAGUGCGUGCCCCCAUGGUUGGGACACUGCUCCAGGCUCCAUCGCCUGGCUCCGGCUGACAAAGGUUUUGGAAGGAACAAAGGUGAGUUCUGGGCUAAUCUGCAGGUUCAAGGCUCAUGGGGCCUCAGAGGGGCUUGACAAAAGGAGGGAAGGCAGGAAGAACGCUGUGGGAGGGGGGAGGGGUCCUUCCACAUUUCCACCCCCAACUACAGGGAGGGGAAUGGGGGCUCCCACCCUGAUGAGUCUUACCUGUUUUCAUAAGGCCUGUUGUAUGAGUUCAUUUUUCAUUACUGUGAUGAAGUAGCUGAAGUGGGCUACCUCAGAGUUUGGGAGGCUGGCACAGGGUCUUGGGAUGGCCCCUUCAGCUGUGCCACUUGGUGGAAGAUGGCCUUCUUGCUGACAGUCCCAAGGCAGCACAGAGCAUCACAUAGCCAGAGAUAGGGAGCGUGCGUGUGUAUGUGUGUGUGCAUGCAUGCGUGUGUGUGCAUACAUGUGUGCAUGUGUGUGGGUGCAUGUGUGUGUGUGUGCAUGUGUGUGGGUGUCUGUGGCUCUUCCCCUCCUCUUUUGGAGCCACUAGGCUUCGAUCAGGGGCUUCACUGGGGUGAUUUCAUCUAAUUCUUUUUUUUUUUUAACUUUUAUUUAGCAAAUACAAAUUUCCAAAGUACAGUUUAUGGAUUACAAUGGCUUCCCCCCCCCCCCGAUAACUUCCCUCCUACCCGCAACCCUCCCAUCUCCCACUCCCUCUCCCAUUCCAUUCACAUCAAGAUUCAUUUUCAAUUCUCUUUAUAUACAGAAGAUCAAUUCAGCAUAUAUUAAGUAAAGAUUUCAUCAGUUUGCACCCACACAGAAACACAAAGUGUAAGAUACUGUUUCAGUACUAGUUAUAGCAUUUAUUCGCUACAUGAGGACUAAGUGCACAGUGACUCCUGUUGUUGACUUAACAAUUUGACACUCUUGUUUAUGGCGUCAGUAAUCUCCCUAGGCUCUAGUCAUGAGUUGCCAAGGCUAUGGAAGCCUUUUGAGUUCGCUGACUUUGAUCUUAUUUAGACAAGGUCGUAGUUAAAGUGGAAGUUCUCUCCUCCCAUCAGAGAAAGGUACCUCCUUCUUUGAUGGCCCGUUCGUUUGUUCUUUCCUUUUUUUUUUUUUUUUUUUUUUGCCUGAGUGUCUUGGCUUUCCAUGCCUAAAAUACUCUCAUGGGCUCUUCAGCCAGAUCCGAAUACCUUAAGGGCCUAUUCUGAGGCUGUUUAGGACAUCUGCCAUUCUGUGAGUCUGCUGUGUAUCCGACUUCCCAUGUUGGAUUGUUC
Molecule: long non-coding RNA, 1699 nt
Organism: Oryctolagus cuniculus (rabbit)
Lineage: Eukaryota; Metazoa; Chordata; Mammalia; Lagomorpha; Leporidae
Source: Ensembl